UCUGGUAAUUUGAGCGGUAUGGUACCACCUUUUCCCAUUCCGAACAGAGAAGUGAAACGUGCCAGCGCUUACGAUACUUUUUGCUUGUUGCAGAAGGGACAAUAGGUCAUUGCCAGGG
Molecule: non-coding RNA, 118 nt
Organism: Legionellales bacterium
Lineage: Bacteria; Pseudomonadati; Pseudomonadota; Gammaproteobacteria; Legionellales
Source: Rfam